This 12660-nucleotide long non-coding RNA is filed under the name Coffea arabica (coffee). RNAcentral's name for it is "long non-coding RNA (CARA_LNC002191)". The record is from RNAcentral. Lineage: Eukaryota; Viridiplantae; Streptophyta; Magnoliopsida; Gentianales; Rubiaceae.
UCAAAACUUGUUACAUUCACGAUUUGAUUUUUGAGUUCUGUAAGGGCGAGGCGAAAGAAAAGAAUUUCCUUCAGGUCCUGCGAGGAUAUGAUGAGCUUUCUACCUUUAAUGAGGAGAACCCACCUCGGUUGUCCAUUUGGUGCAGUGGAGAAGAUUUUAUGAAGUCAAGGCUAUUUUGUCCGCAUUUAGCCAGUCUGCUAUUCUUUGAUGCUACUCCAGGAUAUAAGAAGUUUGAGUUGCUUAAUAUCUCCUUCCUUUUUUGCAUCUACAAACAUCUUAACGUUCUGAAUUUAGAGGGCAUUGACCUAAUGUUGAAGGAGCUUCCAGCUGAAGUCGAAUCACUUAUUUGUUUGAGGUACUUAGCCCUUAGUGCUUGGAAAAUGCGAUUCAUUCCACCAUCUAUAGCCAAGCUCUCACAUUUGGAAACCUUCUGUCUAAAUUCUCACCAGAUGGUUUCAUUGCCAGAUAGCAUCUGGAACAUGAAGAAGUUGAGGCAUGUAGAUGCAUGGAGUGGGAUUGUUAUUUGUCUAUCUUCCAACGACAACGGUGUUGAAAACCUGUCCACUUUACCCAAUUUGGACACACUCUCUUGUUUGUAUCUUUGUGAAACGGGAGAGAGCCUUUAUGAAGAGGGAGAGAACAUAUUGAGAAGCAUUCCCAACGUUCGCCGACUUAAAAUUUCCGAUCGUCAGACUGGAAAUGGAGUGUUGAACAUGAGUCGACUAGAAUGCCUAGAAUCACUCACCUGGUUGGGCUAUUACUGCUCAAGUUCAUGGGAACAUGUUGAGCCUCCCUUUCCCAUGAAUUUGAAGAAGUUGAGUCUUCGCAAUCUGGGUCUUCCCUGUAGUAAAAUGUCAUUGAUUGAAGAACUACCCAAUCUUGAAGUCCUCAAAUUAAGAGACCGGGCAAUGGAGGGCCAAAGAUGGGAGCUGAUGGAAGGAGGAUUCCCUAAACUCAGGGUCUUGACGUUGGAAGAAGUAGAGGUUGUGGAGUGGAUUGACAGUGGUGAUGAUUACUUCCCGUGUCUUCAGCAAUUAAAACUCUUCGGAAUUUUUAAUUUGAAAAUGAUGCCUGCUUGUUUAGGGAGUAUAUCUACUCUUGAAACGAUUGAGAUGAAGGAUUGCAAAGAUGGCGUCAAAUCUUUAGUAAGGAAAAUUGAAGAAGAACAGAAAGAUUAUGGAAAUGAGAAUCUGAAGAUCAUUUAUGGAAAAUAUUGAAGGGUGGCUACAUCUUUUCCUAUCAAUUCCCCUUCUUUGGGUGGCUUAAUUGGAUUUCAUUAGUUGGCUAAAUUUUGGUUGUAAAAAAUUCUCAACUGCUAACCGCUUUAAUGUUCUUUGGUUUCCUCUUUUUCCCGUUGUCUGUUGGGUUCUAUGGUAUGAUAGGAAUAAAUUUUUGUUUGAUUGUAAGUAAUAAAGAUUUGCAAGUUUAUGUAACACAGAGAAACCCAAAAAAUCGUAAAUAUUGAUUCGAUCUGAACCGCAAAUUUAGGAUAUUCGAAUCGGUUUUAAUAUGCGUAGUUUGGGUAGCAGCAAAUCAGAUUAACAAAGAAGGACGUCCCGUCGCAAUUCAAAAACUUUGAAAAUCGCAGAUACCUGACCCAAUUCAUAUGUAAGGAUAAUUUUGUCCAUUAAAACUAAAAGUAAUAGAGGAAUAUAUAAUCAUCUUUCACCAAAUAUUUAUAUUUGAGAUGAUAUACUUGACUAUCUCAACAAUAUAAGUCUUAACUUGUUUAACUUGCUAAUUAUAUAGUAAUAUAUUUAGCUUUUGUUGCUGAGAAUAAGUGAUAUUUACAAACUUGUUUUUACUAUGAAUAUGCAAGUAUUGAUGGUUAUGUGAUAUUUCUUAACAAAUAAUGAAUUAUAUUUAAAUAAAGUCUUUUAGGUGUUUACUUAUUUUCUUAUUCUCAAUUAUGAAAAUAUGAUUUCUUUUUUAACUUUGGUACCGAGUCUAGUCAUUCGAGUACUCUAUGACCGUGGACACAGUUAUUAUUUAAUUUUUUGUCGAACCAAUAGAACUGGUUUGAGUUACGAAGAAGCGCAGAGCUUCCCCGUGGAGGCCAAUUGUGUAUUUUGUCCGCCCAAGUGGUACCAGGACUUCAACCCCAAGACCCUUAUACACAAGGACUAGGGUUCGAAUCCUGGGGAGGCCCCCCUCCAAGCACCCGAUGCUGGGGCGGACAAAAUACACAAUUGACCUCCACGGGGAAGCUCUGCGCUUCUUCAAGUUACAAAUCUGAAAGGACACCCAACCCGUGAAAUAUAAUCACGGACUGAUGCUGACUCCUCUUUACUCUUUGCUCAUGGCUUAAGGCCCUUGUUAGUAGUUAUAUAAACUCAAAUCAAAGAUUCCAUCAAACUAAAAUCUCUAUUGAAGUCAUUUUACUAUUUUCUUUUGAAAAUAAAAACUAGCUAUUGACUUUUGGAUUAUAAGAUUGAUUUUUGGAGCAUGCAUAUUGAACAACAAUGCUUGAAUUUUCAACAAAAAAGAAAAAAAAACAACGAAAUAAAGCUAACGUAGAUGACUAAUUAUAAAUUAUCAUUCUCUUUUUCCCUUUCACUUGAAAAUGAAAGAAACUAUUUUUGUGAUAACAAAAAUUUCUGUUCGACUUUAAUUUUUUCCUUCCUUUUUUUUUGGCCCCUUAUAUGGUCUUUUUCUCUUGAAAAUUCCAAGAAAGUCUUACCUUAUGGAAAGCGAAAAUCUUUUAAUUUUUUUUUUUUAAAAAAAGGGGUCUAGGUGUAGGGUCCCUUUCUUAGUGGACAAUGCCGAAACUGGUGCUUUUUACCUACGAAAUGAGAGUGAAAUAAUUCAUUCAAAAACCAUAAAGUAAUGAGUUAAAAAAUUCUUUGCUUUUUCUCGUGAUUCCAGCACUGCCACCACUAUGAUUGUUUGUUGAAUAAUUGAAUAUUCCACAAGAAAAAUACUGGCUAGGCGAGAUUUGUUAAUAUUUCUCCUUAUGCUACACUAAAAAUUUGAGAGUGAAAUUGAGGAAGUGCCUUGCAUUAUAAGAGCUGGAGAUGACCUCCACUUGCAUAGAACCGAUCUAAUUGAGCUCAUCUAUAAGUGGAUAUUAAUUAUAAUAUUUUCCUUGAAGCAAUUUAAAAUAGAUGAUCAGUCUUAACGUUAAAAAGUAUGUCUACAUAUCAUAAGGUUUAGGAGUAUUUUUUUUAAUCAAACUACUUGAUUUGAUACUUUGAUUAAACAACUUGAGCUCAGUCAGCCAAUAUUGAGACAGGAAAUGGGGCAGGGACGGUCAUCAAUAUGAACAUCCCUGAGCAGUUAAGGGCCAUGAUUUGGCCAAAAAAUUUUGUGCGGUCCAGAUAACAAGUUGUGCAUCGAUUUUCACACCAUGUGUGGAAUCCGCAAAAUUUUGUACUAAAGUUACACGCUGUACAAACAAAGUUAUGCGCUGUUGAAAAUAGCCAAAACCGUUGGGGACGGUUGCAACCGUCUGUGCCCCUUGUCUAUUGAGACAGUUUCGCUGCUAAAAUGCUGGUUUCCGAGAGAUUCGUUUGCAGUCUUACCUAAAAGAUAAAUACAACAGUAUAAAUACCUUAUUAAUUCAUUAGUUGUGUAUAAUAUUAUUAAAUUUAACCACAAGAGAAUAUGAAAAUGUUCUUGCGACAUAUAUCAAUUAGCCCAAAAUUGUUCAGGUCCCCGAAAAUCUGAAUAUAGUUGCUCACGCAUAUUAAAAAUGGAGCAGGUUAGAAUCACAAGGCUACAGAUCGGCUACACAUUGUGGAUGAAAUCUUCUCCCAUCUAAAACAUUGCCCCUUAAAAGGCUAGAGCUUGAAUUAAGGAACGGGAAAAGGGACCGUCCAGUGGCCAUUCUUUACCAGAACACUAUCCGGUCUCCGUCAAUCUAUCGAAUUCUGCACAUGAAUGUGGAAGAAAGACUAAUGUUAAGAGUUGAAUUGAUUUUCAAUAGCUGUAACAGUGUAUUAUUGUAUUAGCAUGCAUUUCGGUUCUGACACUAAGUGCGUUUGAUAAAAUUGAAAUAUAAAAUCUAAAUUUAUUAAAUUAUUAAGUAUUAAAUUUGAUAUAUUUGAAUGUAUAUCAUAUUAAGUAAUAAAUAAAUAAUUUAUUACUUAUUUUUUAUAAUAUAUUUGCCAAUAAAAUUUAGUACUAUUUAAUUAAUUCAGAUGUUUAAUUUUUGAUUAUCAAAUAUGUUUGAAUAUGUUAAAAUCUGAAUCUAUUAAAUUUAAGUAUUAAAUUGAAUUAUUAAACAGGACCAAAAUCUCAAUCAACUCGUGGAAGUUUUCAACGUAAAUAAUAAGAAUUGAUAUCAAACAUUUAAAAAUAUGGGUAUGCCUUAGCCAUGAACCCCUGUGUUAAAAAGCAAGGAAAGGGAGGGUUCUCUAGCCGUGCUUGACCCGAAGAACAGCCAGUCCCCUUCUCUCAUUUUCCAAUGGACACCCUCAAUGUUGAAGAAAGAGUAAUGAGAAGACUUUCAAUUAAUUUCCAAUGACUCAAGUAACACUAAAAUGGGCAAAUACUUGUGUCUGGAUAGGAGAUUAUUUCGGAUGAUUUUUUUUUAAUAUUGUAUCAGUUUUUUAUAUAAUAUAUAUGAGAUAAAAAGAUAAUUAAAAAAUAUAUUUAUGAUACAAGUAAAUAAAUUAGUAUAAAUAAUUAGCGCGCAAUUAAGUCCUGACUCUUGAAAAGAAGUACUGCUGCUAAUUAGUAGAGUUCUUUACUUCUUUAAGCCAAUCAUUUUCUUUGACCAUUGUAUAUUGGUAACAUUAAUGCACUCAUUAAUUUUGAACGUUAUCAUUUUACUCUUUAUAGUUAUUAUCUUAGUGUUUAUAUUUAUUAUGAUUAGGACUGUCAAUGGGGUCAGGCCACCUGACCUCGGCUGGUUCGGCCCAAAAAAAAUCCGAUGAACUCGACCUUUCACUGAGCCGAUUUGAGUUUGACCCUAAAAAUUGCACUCGAAUUAAAUAUGAGCCGAGUUUAGACCUCAUUAGGCUCAAAUCCAAUAUAGGUCCAACCCUUAAAUUAGCUAUAUAUAUAAUAUAAUUAUAUAUCCAAAAAUAUUAUUACUAAAUAUUAAAUAUAUACAAAUUACAAAACACAAAAAUACAUUUGAAGACUUCUCUACUAACUUUCUUGAGAGCCGAUAUUGAUAUUGCGUGACUAAAAGUCUAACUUUUCUUAUUGGUUGAAUAAAUUUUUUGGUUGAUUUAUUUUUGGUCUAGUAACAUAAAUCAUCAAGCAUGUUUGGAUUUAAGUUACAAAGGUACGAAGAAGUUCCAACUUUUGAAAAUGUAUUAGCUUAUGACCGCAUAAUUUAUUACUAUUUUUCAUAUACUUUGAACGAAUUAGAUAUAAAUAUUGUUCAAAAAUUCUUGAUUUAUGUACUUUUUAAGAACUAUUACUUGUUUAUGUUUAGUUUUAAUGUUAUAGUCCUGUGAAUAUUAAAUUAGUUUUACAACUCAAUAGUUUUGGUAAUCUAUAUCUAUAUAAUCUAUAUUUAUUCCAAAUAAUAUUUCAAAUAAUACUCUAUUCAUAUUUCAAACAUGGAUGAAUUAAAAUACUCAACCCUUACUCCACAUCUGCUAUCAAAACAAGGCUUCUUAAUUACGAAGUUUAACAAAUUAAACUGUGGAUAGUCGAUUUUUUCCUACUCACUGAUUGCCUCGUGACAAGAAGUGGAAUUAUUGCAAAAACAGGGGCUUACAAUAAUUGGAGAAGGGGCAGGAACGGUUACCGUUAUCCUAGGUUCAUGGUUAAGAUUUGAUAAAAAAAAAAAUAUAUGAUUCAAAUUGUAUCUUAUAUAUUAUUUUUCACACCAUAUGUAAGACUUAUAAAAUUUUAUCUUGUAAUGAUAUGUUAUUGAAAAUAAGUUACACCGUGUUCAUAUAUAGUCACACGUUAUGCAUUUUACACAAAACCUUCACGCCCUGCCCUCUGUCCGCAAUAAUUCUGGUCUGUGGAGCCGGGACCCCAUUGCGUGGAAAUGGAAUACAAUAAUUCCCAAUAAUUCUAUGAAACCGGCCCACCACUCAUCAAAGGUUCAGAUGCACUGAGCCCACCACUCGCAUAUGUCUGCUAAUACAACUUAUAUAUUCCACUUUAUAUUCCUCUCUAUUAUACGUUUAUAAUAGAGAGGGACUGAUCCGUCUGGACCAUUCUUGGUAGGGAUUAAUCCUACCUUUAAUUUAGUUAUUCUACAUGCUUUGGACCGUAAAAUCAUCGAAGUGUCUCAAAUCCCCUAAGCUACAGUUAUUGUGAAUGAAAGUCGACUAAAACAAAGGCUUUUCCUCGUACGAACGAAUAAUUUAUCUUCUGUUAAUGAGAAGCUAGCAUACAGCUCCUGUGUGUUUAGUUUAAUUUAUAAGUGUGUGUGUAUUAAUUUCCGAUUGUGGAAAAAGAGAAGCUAGCAUACAGCUCCAUGUUAUUCCUAAACUUGCACGAAUAGUGUGUGAAACCAUACUACUAUUUUGAAAGAAUUAGAGUGCAAAACGGUAGAAUUAACUACUUUGUUUUGGCAGUUCAAGCUUUCAAGGCCUGGCUCAGUUGUACUUAUUUAUAUUCAACUGAAAGAAUCCAUUAAACUAAAACCUCUAAUGUCAUUUUACUUUUUCCAAAGCAACAAAAAUGAAAAUUGUUAUUUCAUAGAAUUUAUGUAUGUAAUAAUAGGAUGUGGCUAUAUGGAGUAAAAAUGCUUAAAUUUUUCAAAGAAACAAUCAAUUUAUAAAGAUUAGGGUAAAACAAGUCUGAAUUGAGCAAUUGGUUAAAUUUUUACGCUUUUUCAGUGUGGGUGCAGGGACCUUUGCUAAUGGAAAAUACCAGAGUGGUCCUUCUCAACUCCAAUAUGAGUAUGAAAUAGUCCAAAAAUAAUAAACUUGUCAAUGAAAACAUCUUUAAUCUACUAAACACAAGAUGACUUUAUGAUAAUUCCAACAUUUUCUCUUUUGCCUUGCUGAUCUUUUGUUUCUUACUCUGUUUGUUUGUUAAACAAUUGAGUAUCUAAUUUCUUUUCUUCACUACCCUACAAAAAAAUAAUAAUAUAAAAUAAAAUGAAAGAAGAGUAAAUUUGAUGGAAGAAAGACUUGUUGGCCCUGGGGUGAGAUUUGUUUCUCCUUUACCUGUACUAAUAUUUGAGAGUGACAUUGAGGAAAAUCCCUGCAUAAGAGUAGACAAGUAUUUGAGGCUGAGAUCCUUCGAAUUUUUUUCAGAGUACAAAAUUAAUGUGUUUGUAAUACAACAUUGGUUAUCGAAAUGACCCCAAUAGAAAAUGUUUCAAGAAUGCAUUUUUUCUGUGAAAAGAAGUACUACUACUGAUUAGUAGAAAUUUUCACUUCUUUAAUCCAAUCAUCUUCUUUGACCGUUGUACGUAACAUUAAUGCACUCCGGUAACAUUAUUAAUUUUGCAAGUUAUCAUUUUACUGUUUAUAUUUAUUAUUUUAGAGUUUUACAUUUAUUAUUUUAAUGCAUAUCCUUAUACUAUAUAAGAAUGACUGUAGGGCAAAGAUUUCAACCGCAAGGAUAGGGCUAUUUUGGGAAUAUGAGAGUAUUUGAAGUGUAAUUUGAGUAUUGAAUAUGAAUCAUUAUAACUGAUUUGGUUUUUUUUAUAAUUACUUAAAUGUUCUUUCAGACAUUUAAAGCUAUGGAUAAGUUUAACAUGUGACAAUAUUCGAUAUCCAAUUAAAUAUUCUGUACAAUUGAAUUCAGCUUGUGUUUUAGUGGAAUUAUAUAAAAAUCCUUUUAAUCAUUUAAUUGUAUUAACAUCUAAGUCUCUUAAUUUCUUAAAGCCUUUCUCAACAGUUAUUUGCAAACUUAUGAUAUAUAGAUGUUAAGGCACAAUUAAUGCUGAUUAGUAGAGAAGUUUGGUUUCUUGGCCGUUACCAUAGUAACCCCUAUCUAUUCAAAUUAAUUUCAUUUACCUAUAACUUUGUUCCACUACAAUCAUGUAGUAUAUUAAAUUCAGAUGUUGCUAUAUUAGCUACUACUCUUUCCCAUUUUGCAACAUCUUUCUCAAUAGGUUUGUUUUCUUUAGCUAAUCUACUUUUUUGGUUGUAAGAAAUUUGUAAUCUUGCAAGUUGUAUGUGCAAUACUUUUUUUAGUGUUUUAAUUCAAUUGCCCAUGUUAGAUAGACUUGAUAGGGAGGAGAUCACAUUUGUUAAUUGUUAUUUGUGGUUUAGAAUAAGUUUGUCAUCAUAAAUUUUUUCAUUAAUAGAUUGCAUCUACUUCUUUUGUUGUUUUAACUAUUAGUUACGGUAAUUUUCAAAUCAUUUGCUACUUUUUUGAUGAUUCCAUUUAGGCAAUUUUUCACUUCAUUUGAUUUGCCAAUAUGUUUAACUAUCUACUUAAAACUAUUUGGCUGCAAAUCUAAAGUAUGUACUUCAUUACUUUUAAUUGUUUUCUUAAAUUGAGUGGAUUAAGAUGUUUUAGUACUUUUUUUGAGGUAAUUAUUCAUCUAGAUUAGCGUGUUAGUUAUUGUAUAUCUUUGCAACUAGAUAAAAAACUGAUGUUUUGUGAUUGUAACCCCUAUCGAGAAGGAGGUGCUUUGCUAUAUGUCCUAAAUUAUAUAAUAAAUCAUAAUUGAUUGAUUUGUCAAUGUGAAACUUUCAUGAUGAUAUGUUCUUGGAAUCAAUAUAAAUCAAAGAAUUUGGCUUGUAAGAACCGAAAUUUCACUAGCAAUGAUUUCUUCAAGUAUGCUAAUUUUUCAAAUCUCACUUAUAUGAUAAGAUAAUGAGAUAGAUUGCCCUCAUAUCAAGAUCAAAUUCAAACUAAACGACAAAAUUUAACAUUCCCAAAAUGCAUGAGCAGAUAUAAGUAGAUCUUUUAUUCUAUUAGAUUAGACACAAAGUAAUUAAUCAUAUUUUAUAAUUAUAUUUUAUUGCAUAUUAUAUAUUUUGACUCAAUAUGUAAUUUAUGAUUUUUCUGUUUAAUAUCACAUAAUAAAAUUGUCAUACUUCAAUUCUUAUACUACAAAAUACUAAAUAAUAAUUAUUAACUAUCUUUACUUAUAGGUACUAAACUCCCGUGCAUGGCGCCGGCUUUUUCCACUAGUAUUUUAUGAUAUAAUUGACACUAGUAAUUGCAGACAUCCCCAAUUCUUUGCUUCCACAAUACCAAGGGUUGAAGAAGCCCUCAAUUUUUUUUUUCUCAUACUUUUUACUUUGUUGGCCAUGGUUAUUAAUCUCCAAGAUCAAUGGUCAUGAUUAUUAAAACGAGAUAAUUAGAAGAGAAAGUGAUCAAAUUUAGUGGUUUGCUGAAGAAAGAAAACAAUGGAAGAAAAUUAGAGAGCUAGCUUGAAGGUUCAUUAUAUUUUGAUCAUUUAUAUUGUGACGUGUCUUGGAUCAUUUAUAUUUUGAUGUCUCUUUGUUUUCUGUUCUUCCUAAUUAUAAAGUUUAACAUAUUAAACUGUGGAUGCUUGAAGCAAAAAAAAAAAACAUAUUAAAACAGGGACGCGCUAUAAGAGAAGGGGCGCCAUUGUGUGGGAAUGGAAUACAAUCAUUCCCAAUAAUUCUUUGAAAUCGGACCCACUACUUUAUUGAGGCAAUAAUUAGAUGUAUAAUAGAGAGGGGGCUGCUCCGUCUGGACCACUCUUGCUUUGGACAAUAAAAUCAUCAAAGAGUCUUAAAUCACUGCUGUUAUUGUCUUAAAACAUAGGCUUUUAUGUGAUCCCUAAUAUCAAAUUUCCCUAAUAAAAUGUUGAUGACAGAGUAAACUAAUCUUGUUUAUCAAUUUCCUCCAUUUGUAAUUAGUUCAAGAUAAAUUUGGAUUUUGGGUGCCUAGCUCCAAUUCCACCUAGUUGAAUAAUUGAUUAUCAUUGCCUGGGGUCCACCUUGAUGCCAAUUCCACCUAGUUGAAUGGUUGGUUGUCUCAAUACUCUUCUUCACCUUCUCACCAGAAACAAAUAAGCAAUUUUCAGGAAAGAAAUACUUUGCUAGCUCUGCAGUUAGUGAGAUUUGUUUCUCUCUUAGAAUUUGAGAGUGAAACUGACGAAAAUCCCUCCAAAAGAGAUGGAGAUGGCCUCCACUUGCAGCAUCGAUCGUGUCUUACUUGAUCUAGAGUCGCUCCGGAACAGCUCCGGAAUAUCCCUUUAUCUUCUUUACGAUGUUCGUGAAGCAAUCAAACACAUGAAAUUUCUCCAAACAUUUCUUAUGUGUGCUAGAAAGUGGAGCCAAAGCAAUGAUUUGUACUUGCAAUCUGACAAUGUUGUGAAGAGGGUAAGUCUUCCAUCUUUCCUAUCUUGUAUCGAAGAUACCUUUCACAAAUAUGAGGAGGAUAUUCACUCUCUUUCCCGUGAUAAGAUAUAUGUAGUGUUCCGCGAAAUUAGGAAACAGAUCAUAUUAUUCAAGCAAGAAAUCAUCCAAAUUUACUUUGCUUUGGCAACUUUGGCAAGCAACAGGUCAUUUCAAUCAAAUUCUUGUAUGACAGAUGAUGAACUGUUGGAAUUCAUAGACCUCAUCCUGCAAAAUCUAGCAGAUUUGACAAAUGACGAUUUGAAUUGGAAAAUUACUAAAUCGUCCAUUUAUGCUGCUUUGAGUGCUCAAGUCCAAGAUCUUGAAGCAAAGCUGACAUUCUUGAAAAGCUCCAUUCCCUUUGCCAAAAUGCGAGGAACCGCAGAUAUUCCUGCCUUGCUAUUGGCUCACUUUGAAGUGGUGGCUUUGACCGCAGCACGCCUCUCUUACAUGUGUUCUUUUUGGGAUGAUGAUGACGAAAAUAAAAAUCCUGGGUUCUACUCCAGAAGAACUUGCAGCUUCAAACUCCUCAGCAUGAGAGCGGUUGAUUUUCAUGUCUACGAGAUUUAUAAGGAAGUACUUGCAGCUUCAAACUCCUCAGCAUCAUUACAUACAGCAGUGAUGGAUGAGCGGAUAUUGAACAACUUCAACGAUUCUCUGAUAGGACGUCUCUGGGAGUUGUUAUGCUGCAGCUCUAGCUUUGUGGAUUCUAUGAAAGAUGAAAUGCAAACACUCUAUGCAGAACUGAGGUUUUUGAGAAGCAUUUUAAGGGAGCAUCAUGCGAUGAUGGAUGAACAAAAUGAAAAAAUUGGAGCUCUCCUUGGUGAGGCAGGCAUUAUAAUAUUCUCGCCCACUCUGAGCAGAGUGAUAGAAGGAGAAGUUAGCUUCUCAGGAUCCACCCAGGUUCUUGAUUUUUGUGAUCUGCUGGCCAAUAUCAAGCAUUUUAAGGAUCAGAUCAGUGGCUCAAGUACUAUAGAGAGUCUUCCUAAUUCCUCUCAUAGCUUAAGAGCACCAGAAGUUAGCCAGACUUCCAGCCGCAUGCUAUCAAAAGGUAAAAUGCCAAUGGACCAUGAAGUCAUGGUUGGUCUUGAUGAUAAGGGAGAACAAGGAAUUGAACCACUUAUCAAGCAUUUUGAGGAUCAGCUCAGUGUCUCAAGUACUAUACAGAGUCUUCCUAAUUCCUCUCAUAGCUUAAGAGCACCAGAAGUUAGCCAGACUUCCAGCCGCAUGCUAUCAAAAGGUAAAAUGCCAAUAGCUCGUGAAAUCAUGGUUGGUCUUGAUGAUGAGGCAGCAAAAGUAAUUGAACGACUUAUAUGGGGAUAUAUGGGGAUCAGAACAGGUGGAAAUUGUUCCCAUUGUGGGAAUGGCUGGGCUUGGUAAGACAACUUUAGCCAAAAAAGUUUACAAUAAUAUUUCAGUAACCUGUCACUUCCACAUUCGUCUUUGGUGCACUGUUUCUCAAGAAUUUAACAUGAAAAGCUUGUUAAUACAAAUUUUGUGCUCUAAUGGAAAACAGUCGAGGAUGGAUGAAGAGCUUAAAAAAUUGAAUGAACAUGCGUUGCUUGAAAAGCUCCGUCAAAGGCUAUUGAAGAAUCGGUAUCUUCUUGUUUUUGAUGAUGUCUGGGACAUUGAGGUAUGGAAUGAGCUGAGAACUGCAUUCCCCAAUGACAAGAAUGGAAGUAGAAUCAUCUUUACGAGUCGAUUUUCUAAUGUAGCUUCAGAUUCAAAGGUUCAAUAUGGUGGAGAACCUCACUAUCUUCACCCACUCAGUGAGAAAGAAAGUUUCGAAUUGCUGCAGAAGAAGGUGUUUGGAGAAGAAGAAGAAUGUCCUCAAGCAUUGCAUGAAUUGGGAAUGGAGAUUGCCAAAAAGUGCAGGGGAUUGCCACUUGCACUUGUUGUUGUAGCUGGAGUCCUGGCAACUAUAGAGCAUGAUAUUUGUGUUUGGGAAGAAUUUGCUGAAAGUUUUACUUUGACCAUGGUGUCUGGUGCAGACCAGUGCAAGAAGUCCUUGGAGCUCAGUUUUGAGCAUUUACCAUACCACUUGAAGGAAUGCUUGCUGUAUUUUGCUGCAUUUCGAGAAGAUGAAAAAAUUGGUGCCAAGAAGUUGAUGUGUCUAUGGAUUGCAGAAGGAUUUGUGGAAAUAAUUGAAGGAGAGAAAUCAGAGGAUGUUGCAGAAAAAUAUCUGAUGGACCUAAUUGGCCGAAACCUAGUUAUGGUAGGUAAGAACAGAUCCAUUGGUGGAGUGAAAACUUGUUACAUUCACGAUUUGAUAUUUGAGUUCUGCAAGGGCAAGGCGAAAGAAAAGAAAUUCCUUCAGGUCCUGCGAGGAUAUGAUGAGCUUUCUACCUUUAAUGAGCCUCCCAACCUACCUCGGUUGUCCAUUUGCUCCAGUGGCAAAGAUUUUAUGAAGUCAAAGCUAUUUUGUCCAUGUUUAAGUACUCUGCUAUUCUUUGAUGCUACUCCAGGAUAU